GCCCUGGUAGCCCAAUUGGCAGAGGCAGCAGAUUCAAGUCCUGCGCAGUGUGGGUUCGAAUCCCACCCAGGGUACAA
Molecule: transfer RNA, 77 nt
Filed under: Nocardiopsis sp. TSRI0078
Lineage: Bacteria; Bacillati; Actinomycetota; Actinomycetes; Streptosporangiales; Nocardiopsidaceae
Description: tRNA-Leu
Rfam family: tRNA
About the family: Transfer RNA (tRNA) molecules are approximately 80 nucleotides in length. Their secondary structure includes four short double-helical elements and three loops (D, anti-codon, and T loops). Further hydrogen bonds mediate the characteristic L-shaped molecular structure. tRNAs have two regions of fundamental functional importance: the anti-codon, which is responsible for specific mRNA codon recognition, and the 3' end, to which the tRNAs corresponding amino acid is attached (by aminoacyl-tRNA synthetases). tRNAs cope with the degeneracy of the genetic code in two manners: having more than one tRNA (with a specific anti-codon) for a particular amino acid; and 'wobble' base-pairing, i.e. permitting non-standard base-pairing at the 3rd anti-codon position.
Source: RNAcentral